GGGAAAGUGGCUCAGUGGGAGAGUGCUUGCCUUGCAUGCAUGAGGCCCUGGGUUCGAUUCCUCAGCACCA
Molecule: transfer RNA, 70 nt
Filed under: Dipodomys ordii (Ord's kangaroo rat)
Lineage: Eukaryota; Metazoa; Chordata; Mammalia; Rodentia; Heteromyidae
Rfam family: tRNA
About the family: Transfer RNA (tRNA) molecules are approximately 80 nucleotides in length. Their secondary structure includes four short double-helical elements and three loops (D, anti-codon, and T loops). Further hydrogen bonds mediate the characteristic L-shaped molecular structure. tRNAs have two regions of fundamental functional importance: the anti-codon, which is responsible for specific mRNA codon recognition, and the 3' end, to which the tRNAs corresponding amino acid is attached (by aminoacyl-tRNA synthetases). tRNAs cope with the degeneracy of the genetic code in two manners: having more than one tRNA (with a specific anti-codon) for a particular amino acid; and 'wobble' base-pairing, i.e. permitting non-standard base-pairing at the 3rd anti-codon position.
Source: Rfam by way of RNAcentral